UUGCUCAUUUUCAGAGAGUGCUCGCCAAUGAGCCCGUUAGAGUAUAAAGAGGGCAGGGUAGUGCGAUGUUAAAAUUAAAUGACAAAUAAUGCGAGGUCAAUCCAUAGGGGGGUAAGCAAAGGACUUAUGGGAAAACGACUACUAACGAUGAUGCAAGAGAGAGUAAUGAUUCCAAAACGGUAAUGCAAGGAAGACUAUUGAGUGGCUGGUUGUGCCAUGAAUCAAGUCAAAAGGAAAACUCAUUUAAGUGCAAUUCCCUUUAAUAUAUGCACAUGGUCUUCAAACUUGAGAGGCAAAGCCAAAUGGUGGAAGGUGAUAAAGGACUGUCUUUCAAAAGUGACAUUAAAGCUCAUAAAAAGAUUAAGUUGUUGGUGAAGGCUUUAUCUCCCCAUUUGCUUGAUGGAUUAUUGUCUCUUCUCCAAAUGCCAAAGAGUUGGUUCACCCGAGAUGCAAUGCUUGGUUCAAAAGGGAUAGCUUGUCGUCUUAAGUUCUGAAUUUUUUCUUUUGCAACUAUUCCGAGUUCAAAAGAGGCGGCCUCCAUCAGCAAACAAAGGCUUGAAAGGAAUGAUGAAGACUAUUAAGAUUCGAGAC
Erigeron canadensis is the source of this 591-nucleotide long non-coding RNA. RefSeq lists it as uncharacterized. NCBI's taxonomy places the organism in Eukaryota, Viridiplantae, Streptophyta, Magnoliopsida, Asterales, Asteraceae. The record is from RefSeq and is a predicted model, not a curated record. The transcript is spliced from 5 exons.